This is a long non-coding RNA of Mizuhopecten yessoensis (Yesso scallop), 241 nucleotides long. RefSeq lists it as uncharacterized. The record is from RefSeq and is a predicted model, not a curated record. NCBI's taxonomy places the organism in Eukaryota, Metazoa, Mollusca, Bivalvia, Pectinida, Pectinidae. The transcript has 3 exons.
GGGGCUUCCCUGGGGGAAGGUAACCUUAGGAUGGGCAUACUGGCAGUGCGAUGUCCCAUCCAUAUGUAUGUAGGGCAUUCCAGGAUCCAAGGGUUCCAGCUGAGGCGAAAGCUGGCGGCUUGGCCUGAUGUAGCCCAAAGCAAUCCCCUGGUCCAUAGGAGGACAUGGGGGACGUGCCUGGAGGUGGCACUGAUGGGACACUGGCAAAUCUAAUAUAUAUGGACUGUCUUCAUCCUGAGGU